UACGUAGGGUGCGAGCGUUAAUCGGAAUUACUGGGCGUAAAGCGUGCGCAGGCGGUUUUGUAAGCCAGAUGUGAAAUCCCCGGGCUUAACCUGGGAAUGGCAUUUGGGACUGCAAGGCUUGAGUGCGGCAGAGGAGACUGGAAUUCCUGGUGUAGCAGUGAAAUGCGUAGAUAUCAGGAGGAACACCGAUGGCGAAGGCAGGUCUCUGGGCUGACACUGACGCUCAUGCACGAA
This 234-nucleotide ribosomal RNA is filed under the name uncultured bacterium. RNAcentral describes it as "partial 16S ribosomal RNA". It matches the Rfam family "Bacterial small subunit ribosomal RNA", at positions 524 to 757 of the family's 1533-position model. The record is from RNAcentral.